This 252-nucleotide ribosomal RNA is filed under the name uncultured bacterium. Its description in RNAcentral is "partial 16S ribosomal RNA". It matches the Rfam family "Bacterial small subunit ribosomal RNA", at positions 524 to 776 of the family's 1533-position model. The record is from RNAcentral.
UACGUAGGGGGCAAGCGUUGUCCGGAAUUAUUGGGCGUAAAGCGCGCGCAGGCGGUUUUUUAAGUCUAGUGUAUAAUCCACGGGCUCAACCCGUGUUCGCACUGGAAACUGGGAGACUGGAGUGUAGGAGAGGAAAGUGGAAUUCCACGUGUAGCGGUGAAAUGCGUAGAGAUGUGGAGGAACACCAGUGGCGAAGGCGACUUUCUGGCCUAUAACUGACGCUGAGGCGCGACAGCGUGGGGAGCAAACAGG